UACGAAGGGGGCUAGCGUUGCUCGGAAUCACUGGGCGUAAAGGGUGCGUAGGCGGGUCUUCUAAGUCAGGGGUGAAAUCCUGGAGCUCAACUCCAGAACUGCCUUUGGAUACUGGAGGAGCUUGAGUCCGGGAAGAGGUGAGUGGAACUCCGAGUGGUAGAGGUGGAAAUUCGUAGAUAUUCGGAAAGAACACCAGUAGCGAAGGCGGAGCUCG
This 214-nucleotide ribosomal RNA is filed under the name uncultured bacterium. RNAcentral's name for it is "partial 16S ribosomal RNA". It matches the Rfam family "Bacterial small subunit ribosomal RNA", at positions 524 to 730 of the family's 1533-position model. The record is from RNAcentral.